This 433-nucleotide ribosomal RNA is filed under the name uncultured bacterium. RNAcentral describes it as "bacterial SSU rRNA". It matches the Rfam family "Bacterial small subunit ribosomal RNA", at positions 29 to 507 of the family's 1533-position model. The record is from RNAcentral.
AACGAACGCUGGCGGCAGGCCUAACACAUGCAAGUCGAGCGAGACCUUCGGGUCUAGCGGCGGACGGGUUAGUAACGCGUGGGAACGUGCCCUUCUCUGCGGAAUAGCCACUGGAAACGGUGAGUAAUACCGCAUACGCCCUUCGGGGGAAAGAUUUAUCGGAGAAGGAUCGGCCCGCGUUAGAUUAGAUAGUUGGUGGGGUAACGGCCUACCAAGUCUACGAUCUAUAGCUGGUUUUAGAGGAUGAUCAGCAACACUGGGACUGAGACACGGCCCAGACUCCUACGGGAGGCAGCAGUGGGGAAUCUUAGACAAUGGGCGCAAGCCUGAUCUAGCCAUGCCGCGUGCGUGAUGAAGGUCUUAGGAUCGUAAAGCACUUUCGCCAGGGAUGAUAAUGACAGUACCUGGUAAAGAAGUCCCGGCUAACUCCGUG